AGAACGAACGCUGGCGGCAUGCCUAACACAUGCAAGUCGAACGCUUUUGGGGCUUCGGUCCCAAAGGAGUGGCGCACGGGUGAGUAGCGCGUGGGAACCUGCCCUGGAGUGGGGGAUAACCGAGGGAAACUUCGGCUAAUACCGCAUACGCCGGGAAACCGGGAAAGAUUUAUCGCUCUAGGAGGGGCCCGCGUCGGAUUAGGUAGUCGGUGGGGUAACGGCCUACCAAGCCUUUGAUCCGUAGCUGGUCUGAGAGGAUGAUCAGCCACACUGGGACUGAGACACGGCCCAGACUCCUACGGGAGGCAGCAGUGGGGAAUAUUGGACAAUGGGCGCAAGCCUGAUCCAGCAAUGCCGCGUGAGUGAUGAAGGCCUUCGGGUUGUAAAGCUCUUUCGCACGCGAGGAUGAUGACGCUAGCGUGAGAAGAAGCCCCGCUAACUACGUGCCAGCAGCCGC
RNAcentral lists this ribosomal RNA (457 nucleotides) under uncultured bacterium. RNAcentral's name for it is "SSU rRNA". It matches the Rfam family "Bacterial small subunit ribosomal RNA", at positions 26 to 518 of the family's 1533-position model. The record is from RNAcentral.